RNAcentral lists this ribosomal RNA (401 nucleotides) under uncultured verrucomicrobium DEV015. Its description in RNAcentral is "bacterial SSU rRNA". It matches the Rfam family "Bacterial small subunit ribosomal RNA", at positions 998 to 1396 of the family's 1533-position model. The record is from RNAcentral. Lineage: Bacteria; Pseudomonadati; Verrucomicrobiota.
GUGGAAACAUCCAUGACGCUCGCAAGAGUGGAACAAGCACAGGUGCUGCAUGGCCGUCGUCAGCUCGUGUCGCGAGAUGUUGGGUUAAGUCCCGCAACGAGCGCAACCCUUGUGAACAGUUGCCAGCGCGUCAUGGCGGGAACUCUGUUCAGACUGCCCAGAUCAACUGGGAGGAAGGUGGGGACGACGUCAGGUCAGUAUGGCCCUUACGCCCAGGGCCGCACACGUACUACAAUGCCCGGCACAAUGAGAACCGAUACCGCGAGGUGGAGGAAAUCUGGAAAACCGGGCCCAGUUCGGAUUGGAGGCUGCAACCCGCCUCCAUGAAGUUGGAAUCGCUAGUAAUGGCACAUCAGCUACGGUGCCGUGAAUACGUUCCCGGGUCUUGUACACACCGCCCG